ACACAUGUAAAUAAGGAGAUACACUGAUGUUCUUUUUUUUUUCUUUUCAGUGUUGGUAAUGGAUACUUCCCUUUUAUCACCCGCAUGCUUCCUGUCCCAAGAGAUGAAUAGGAAGUGAGUCACAGCUGCUGUCAAUCUGUGGCCAUGGAUCAGUGCAUCACCCUGCACCUGAGCCAUGCUCAUAUUACACGUCUAUAUUGCCUUAAAAUGAGCCUAAUGAGAGGGAGGGUGUGGGGGAGGCAAGGAUAUCCCAGUGUGUUUUUGUCAGCUUAUAUAUAAAUAAAAUGCAUGAGUUAUUGAGUCACAUUGUCAAUUUUACUGUAUGCAACUUUGAGAUAUUGGUUAUCAAGGAUCAGAAAAUGAUGAUUAUUUAUCUGAGUCAGCAUUGAAUUCUGGGUCAUGAAGACACACUGUAUGUGACACAGAUGUCUGGGUAUCAAGAUAACAGCCACACAUUGUUCAAGUGAUGUGAUUUACAUGCCAUGCAAUGUUUUGACAGCAAUCGGGUUUCCAGGAUUCACCGCCUGCCCCGUGAUUCGUUUAUAGAUUGUUACACGCUGUCCAUGUGUUGCAAAACCAGAUUUAACAGCACAACAAAUCUGUGAUCCGCUAUGUGAAACAAUCCCCAGCAGCUCCAGUGCACAGUCUCGCCUCGCCCAUUCUAACACAAUAAGGAAGUUGACAUCUCUCUGGGAAUGGGGGAUCAGCCGGUAGCCUUCGUAGUAGCAGGGCGGGAGCUGCGCCCGGGGUCCCCCUGGCCCGGAGCGCUGCCUGACGGGUGCAGCCGCCAUGAGUGUCGCUGGCUGGGCACCGACCGAGGACAAAGGGGCGCUGAGUAAUUCGGGGAGUGACACGCCUUCCCCGAUGAGAUAGUGCUGUGGCAAUAAUCCAACAGCUGGCUGGUGUAGCCUGCUGUGUCUGGGGAUCAUGCAGACGGGUGCUUGUGCAGAUUAGAAAUUGGAUGGUUGGGGGAUAAAUGUUCAAAGACAUGUUUAUUACGCAAAAAAUGAGCUGUUAUGCAAAUAUCAAUGAUUCAAAUAAGAGUCAAGUGCAUGUAAAAAAAGACAUAACCCUGCCUUUAUAAUAUUUCCUGCAUCUAUAAAUUCAUCAUUAAAGCUGCAAAAACAAACUGGGAACCAAAUUACUCAAUAUUUAUUUGAAGAAGCGAAUGAACAGCAUCCAUUCCCCUUUACACAGUAACAAAAUAUACAAUACACAGAAGAUUACAUUUAGUACAGAGGUAAUCCAUAUAUCCUAAAGAUAAUCCAGGAUAAUCCCACUUUUAGUCUCCCCACAGUGUCACAGUUACAAAAAUAAGGCAUUGCGGAAGACACAGAAGCUCAAGACAUGCAAAGCAGUUACAUUUUAAUACAGGAAACUCCAUUAAGAUUGUGCAUAAUAAAAUAAAGCUUUAAAGUCCGAUAAUACUUCAUUCAUCAAUAUUGCUCAGUUGAGACACUCAUUGGUUGUGGGUGCAACACGAGCCACCGCAGCAUGUAGUGUUGCAAUAAAUGUCAGUUGCAGCGUUUAACAACUAUUUCAGCUGUGACAGCAGCGGCACACAAACAUUGAUCUUCGCCCUUUGUUCCUCAACAUUAUUCAUCGUCAAUAUUAUACAAGCUGCAUAAUAGCUCAACCUGAACCCCUGACCCUCGUCUCCCCUCUGAAACUCUCUUUUGAUUUAGUGUAAUGAGGCAUGUAAACCCACACCUGAACCGCAAAGUUACUGCUCCUCACAGCAGAAUACCCAGGCCCUAUAACAUGAGUAACAU
Epinephelus moara (kelp grouper) is the source of this 1772-nucleotide long non-coding RNA. RefSeq lists it as uncharacterized. NCBI's taxonomy places the organism in Eukaryota, Metazoa, Chordata, Actinopteri, Perciformes, Serranidae. The record is from RefSeq and is a predicted model, not a curated record. The transcript has 2 exons.